GACAGAGGUGCCGAGCGUUAGGCGGAAUCACUGGGCUUAAAGCGUGUGUAGGCGGGCCGUUAAGUGCCUUGUGAAAUCCCCCGGCUCAACCGGGGAACUGCUGGGCAUACUGGCGGCCUUGAGUCACUCAGGGGUCAGCGGAACAAACGGUGGAGCGGUGAAAUGCGUAGAUAUCUGGAGGAACACCGGUGGCGAAGGCGGCAUCCUGGACCGGUAUUGACGCUGAGGCGCGAAAGCCAGGGGAGCAAACGGG
Molecule: ribosomal RNA, 253 nt
Filed under: uncultured bacterium
Lineage: Bacteria
Description: partial 16S ribosomal RNA
Rfam family: Bacterial small subunit ribosomal RNA
Source: RNAcentral